RNAcentral lists this long non-coding RNA (746 nucleotides) under Homo sapiens (human). RNAcentral's name for it is "HSALNT0185267". Lineage: Eukaryota; Metazoa; Chordata; Mammalia; Primates; Hominidae. The record is from RNAcentral.
CUCCUGAGGAGAAAGAAAGAGAGGGAGGGAGAGAAAAAGAGAGAGAGAGAAACAAAAAACCAAAGAGAGAGAAAAAAUGAAUUCAUCUAAAUCAUCUGAAACACAAUGCACAGAGAGAGGAUGCUUCUCUUCCCAAAUGUUCUUAUGGACUGUUGCUGGGAUCCCCAUCCUAUUUCUCAGUGCCUGUUUCAUCACCAGAUGUGUUGUGACAUUUCGCAUCUUUCAAACCUGUGAUGAGAAAAAGUUUCAGCUACCUGAGAAUUUCACAGAGCUCUCCUGCUACAAUUAUGGAUCAGCUCGUGUCCUCUGUCUCUUGCCUCAGCGCCUGGGUGGCUUGCCGCCCACAUCUAACCCAUCUAUAUACUACAGUAUGGAGAUUUGAUUGAGGAUACAUUGUUUAGGAAUUCCUUUCCUACAAGAAACCUAAAAUGAGAGAGUUUUUUAUUGGACUGUCAGACCAGGUUGUCGAGGGUCAGUGGCAAUGGGUGGACGGCACACCUUUGACAAAGUCUCUGAGCUUCUGGGAUGUAGGGGAGCCCAACAACAUAGCUACCCUGGAGGACUGUGCCACCAUGAGAGACUCUUCAAACCCAAGGCAAAAUUGGAAUGAUGUAACCUGUUUCCUCAAUUAUUUUCGGAUUUGUGAAAUGGUAGGAAUAAAUCCUUUGAACAAAGGAAAAUCUCUUUAAGAACAGAAGGCACAACUCAAAUGUGUAAAGAAGGAAGAGCAAGAACAUGGCCACACC